RNAcentral lists this ribosomal RNA (417 nucleotides) under uncultured bacterium. RNAcentral describes it as "bacterial SSU rRNA". It matches the Rfam family "Bacterial small subunit ribosomal RNA", at positions 29 to 495 of the family's 1533-position model. The record is from RNAcentral.
ACGAACGCUGGCGGCAGGCCUAACACAUGCAAGUCGAGCGAAGCCUUCGGGCUUAGCGGCGGACGGGUGAGUAACGCGUGGGAACGUGCCCUUCUCUGCGGAAUAGCCACUGGAAACGGUGAGUAAUACCGCAUACGCCCUUCGGGAAAGAUUUAUCGGAGAAGGAUCGGCCCGCGUUAGAUUAGGUAGUUGGUGGGGUAACGGCCUACCAAGCCUACGAUCUAUAGCUGGUUUGAGAGGAUGAUCAGCCACACUGGGACUGAGACACGGCCCAGACUCCUACGGGAGGCAGCAGUGAGGAAUCUUGGACAAUGGGGAAACCCUGAUCCAGCCAUGCCGCGUGAGUGACGAAGGCCCUAGGGUCGUAAAGCUCUUUCGCCAGGGAUGAUAAUGACAGUACCUGGUAAAGAACCCCGG